AUUCUCACCUACAAAUGGAUGUGCACAUUCUGAAGUGUUCCUCUGUUCAUGAUUAUGUUUAUGUUUUAUGAUUUUAGCACAUCUGUGGAGAUGAGACAUUUUGCAUCACAAUAAAAACUUUUAUGAUCAUGGAAUCCACGAGGCCUUGAAGUAGAUGACACAAUUUAUCAGUUAGUGAAUAAUAGAUGAUUUGGCAGCACUUGUCUGUGAUUUCUUUGAGGAUCAACCUUUGGAACCAUUUAAAAAGGGGUCAACCGGACUCAAUGCUCGUAAAAUGGAUGCAAGCUGUUUUGAAAACCUUAAGAGCAGCUGAGGCGGCCCGUGGAAGGGUAACAUGCCAUAUUUCUCCAUAUGUACAUUGAAGGGGGAAUCCUCUGAAAAAAUUAUUAAAAGUAGCUAUUAAGACGUUACAGCUUUUUGCUUUCUGCGGAAGACGCCUCGUUCCAUCACACGGAGGUUGAUGACGUCGCCGUUCAGUAAAUGAAGAAGCUGAAGGUGGAGCGUACCGCGUGAUCAGAUAGGUCGUCAUGGACGGAAGAAAAACAAUUUAAUGCCCUGUCUGGCAGACAUUUUUCUUGCGCAGCUAAAAAUACAAUUUGAAUUGUAAAUUGGCGAGUUGUGGCGGUUUUUGUUAUAGAGGAGACACGUAUAAAUAUAUCGAGUGAGUCUGCCGUUGA
This is a long non-coding RNA of Stylophora pistillata, 677 nucleotides long. The record is from RefSeq and is a predicted model, not a curated record. Lineage: Eukaryota; Metazoa; Cnidaria; Anthozoa; Scleractinia; Pocilloporidae.